CUUUCUCUUACUUUUAUGUGAACCUAAAAUUGCUCUUUAAAAUUUAAGUUAAAAAAAAAAGAAAUGAAACAUGGUCCCUGCCAUCUGAGCAACAAUUUAAGGUUCACAAAAACAUUUUUCAGACUUAAGCUACUUUGAAUAUCAUAUCAUCUUCACUUAGGAGAUGAGGAAAUUCGGGUUCAGAAAGUUUAUGUGACUUACCUCGAGUCAUACAGCCAGUGUUGGGAGCAGAGAGCACGUGGAAAAUUCUUGCCUGCUUUUCAACAUCCACCCAAGAAGUAAUCAUUGGGCAAAACUGACCACCAGGCCUCAUCUCACUGCAAGGGGGCUGAAGAAUGACAGAAGACAAAGCUCCAGCUGGCAGAGAAAGAUGAAUGUGAGAGAAGGAAAAGUUUUAUCUAAGCCUGGAACCCAAGAAGAGAACCUCUGCCUGCCCAAAUCAGAUCAACACAAAUCUAUAUUUUCAAAAAACCUAAAGCAAGGAAAAUGUUAGCUUUAUAAACUCCACUUUGGAAAAGUUUUAGAACAGACCUUAUUAUAGAGUUCCACUAAGGCACCUGGGAUGCCCAAAGGACCUGCCCUCUGCUGAUAUCUACAAAAGAUGAUAUUUUCAAAAUGUCCAAGAGUCUCUGAUCUGUGUGUUCAGCAGGAUAACCAAGCUACUGCCUAUCAGAGCAGGGGGCCUAACACCCCUUCCAUUACUGGUUGGCUCUGAUUAUCUUGAGGCUGCCAUGCUUUGAAGAAGUCAAACCACAUAGAGAAAUCAUCAGUGUUGGCCCCAGUGCCAAAGGUGUGAGUGAGGAGCCUUCAGACAACUCCAGCCCCCAUCCCCUGCCUGGGAGCCCACUCAGCUGGAGCACCAGACAGCAUGUGCAGGCCCUCCCUGCCAUGCCUUUUCUACUCCCACCCUACAGAAUCUGGGAGCACUGGACGUGG
Molecule: long non-coding RNA, 936 nt
Filed under: Heterocephalus glaber (naked mole-rat)
Lineage: Eukaryota; Metazoa; Chordata; Mammalia; Rodentia; Bathyergidae
Description: lncRNA (ENSHGLG00000039157.1)
Source: RNAcentral